GCGCAAUUAGCUCAGUAGGAUAGAGCGUUGGCCUCCGAAGCCAAAGGUCGCAGGUUCGACCCCUGUAUUGCGCACCA
Molecule: transfer RNA, 77 nt
Filed under: Desulfovibrio sp.
Lineage: Bacteria; Pseudomonadati; Thermodesulfobacteriota; Desulfovibrionia; Desulfovibrionales; Desulfovibrionaceae
Description: tRNA-Arg
Rfam family: tRNA
About the family: Transfer RNA (tRNA) molecules are approximately 80 nucleotides in length. Their secondary structure includes four short double-helical elements and three loops (D, anti-codon, and T loops).
Source: RNAcentral